AUUGAACGCUGGCGGCAUGCCUUACACAUGCAAGUCGAACGGCAGCGCGGGAGCAAUCCUGGCGGCGAGUGGCGAACGGGUGAGUAAUACAUCGGAACGUGCCCAAUCGUGGGGGAUAAC
This 120-nucleotide ribosomal RNA is filed under the name uncultured bacterium. Its description in RNAcentral is "partial 16S ribosomal RNA". It matches the Rfam family "Bacterial small subunit ribosomal RNA", at positions 30 to 147 of the family's 1533-position model. The record is from RNAcentral.